GUGCUCGCUUCGGCAGCACAUAUACUAAAACUGGAACGGUACAGAGAAGAUUAGCAUGGCCCCUGCGCAAGGAUGAAAUGCAAAUUCGUGACACGUUCCAUAUUUUU
Cricetulus griseus (Chinese hamster) is the source of this 107-nucleotide small nuclear RNA. The record is from Ensembl. NCBI's taxonomy places the organism in Eukaryota, Metazoa, Chordata, Mammalia, Rodentia, Cricetidae.